GGAAGGAAGCAGGGGAAGGAGAGUGUGUGGGUGCAGAAGUUGCCC
RNAcentral lists this non-coding RNA (45 nucleotides) under Chroomonas cf. mesostigmatica. The record is from RNAcentral. Lineage: Eukaryota; Cryptophyceae; Pyrenomonadales; Chroomonadaceae.